This 973-nucleotide long non-coding RNA is filed under the name Homo sapiens (human). RNAcentral describes it as "HSALNT0075118". The record is from RNAcentral. Lineage: Eukaryota; Metazoa; Chordata; Mammalia; Primates; Hominidae.
UGCAGGUUGUAGAGCCAGUGAGGAGACAACCAGUAAGCAUUUCAGCUCCACAGAAACUAAACUAGAUCUUUGGAUUUGAAUGAAACAAUAAGAUUAUUUGAGAGACAUCUAAAAGGUAAAGCAAAUUUUUCCAUGAAAGAAAGCUUGGACAGAAAAUACGCUUGGUAAAUCAGUCUUCUAAAAGCUGCUGGAGAUCUCUAAGGGACGUACCCAGGGCCUGCAAUAUUAUGGGUCAAUACUUCAUGAAACAGAAGGUACUCUUGAUGCAAGGAUGGUUAAAUUUCAACUGGGAUGAUAAAUCAAAAGAAACUGUUUAUUGAAUGAGAAAUAAGCUCCCACUCUAGGAUGAGAUGCAUCAUUGAGGAGCAGCCCCCUGGUUUUGGUGACAGAACUCCUACUGAAGGACAGUGCCCUGAGGAUGCUGUGGUGAGGUAUGCAUCCUGCUAGCUUGUUGAUACUGCUCCAUGCUCAUAAAACCAUCUGGGGUCCACGAGUAACAAAACCAUGAUCCAUAAUAACAAACAAACAAAAUGUUUGUUAGCAUGACAGCCAUCACAGGUCAUCCCAUCCCGAGGGAAGUGAUCCAGAGAUUACUUGUUUUUCCAUCAAGUGGGAGAUAGUAGAGGGCACCAGAAAUUUGGAAGAAAGAAAGAUGUUACCAGACCCCAGCACCUACCCAAAGUUAAUAUUAUCCCUUCAGUGGUUCAACAGAAAGAUGUUGACGGAAAAGCGUCCCGAUCCAGACUGCCCGUUUUUUUUUUUUUAAAAAUAGAGAUGGGGUCUCACUAUGUUGACCAGGCUGGUCUCGAAUUCCUGAGCUCAAGUGAUUCUCUCAUUUCUCACGAGGCUGUGGAGAAAUAGGAAUGCUUUUACACUGUUGGUGGGAGUGUAAAUUAGUUCAACCAUUGUGGAAGACAGUGUGGUGAUUCCUCAAGGAAGUAGAAUCAGAAAUACCAUUUGACCCAAUGAUCCC